Molecule: long non-coding RNA, 2470 nt
Filed under: Mus musculus (house mouse)
Lineage: Eukaryota; Metazoa; Chordata; Mammalia; Rodentia; Muridae
Description: long non-coding RNA chr13:62017050-62019520
Source: RNAcentral
CCGCCUGCCUCAUCCUCCCAUGUGCUGGGAUUAAAGGCUUGUGCCACCACUGCCUGGCCAAACUUUAUCUUCUUAUGCCAUUAUCUCUGCCAGGGAAUGGCCUGCAAUUUUUCAAGAUAACUCUCCUUUACCAAUAACUAGACCAACGCCCAAUGGCUUAUCAGCUCUCUCUUCUACAGAAGAUUCUGAUGCUAGGAAUAUUUGCUCAAAGGCGCAUACAUCCUGCUAUCUAUUAUACUUUUAAUAUGUAUUAUACAUUGUAGUGUGGUUGGUGAGUCAAAAUCAACUGGGUGUCUGUAUCAGACCCUGUCUCAAACACAGGAAAUAAUCAAAAUUGUAUUUGUGAUAGGCUUGCAGACUCCAGGUUUUCUUUCUUUUACAAAUUAAUAUUAAGGUUAAAAUUAGAUUGUAAGUUAAAAGUCACCUUCUUUGUGUGUGUGUGUGUGUGUGUGUGUGACUUGUUCUUUAUUUGUAGUUUUGUGAUUUCCACAUCAGAAAUGGAUUCCAGCGUUCCUGGUAUGUUCUGUUAACUGUGUGAUAGUGAACUAAGUUACUAACUGAAAAAGAUUCCACUUUUGUAAGCACAUGCUAUGUACCUAGGCCUUGAGCUUGACUAUAAAAGCACUCCCUUGCUUUUUAAUAAAUCGAUUUCUCUUUAUUUAUUCAAUUUACAUCCUGCUCACUGCCUUCCUCCCAGUCACCCCCCUCCCUCAAUUCUUCCCCCAGCUCCCCCUCCCCUUCUCCUCUGAGUCGAUGGGCCACCUUGUAUUACCUAGAUUUGGUAAUAUAAUGUGUUUGGUAGGACUCAUGUAGUAUCUUAGUUUUGCAGUUCAAAUUUUUGUUCAGAUUCUUGAUUGCCUGGUAUGUGGACCCCAUAAAUGGGCCAGUCAGACCCUUGUCGAUGGCCUAAAAUUGAUUGCCUCACUGUUCAUUCUUUUCUUUUCUUUUUUUUUUUUUAAGAUUUAUUUAUUAUUAUACAUAAGUACACUGUAGCUGACUUUAGACACACAAGAAGAGGGCAUCAGAUCUCAUUACUGGUGGUUGUGAGCCACCAUGAGGUUGCUGGAAUUUGAACUCAGGACCUUCGGAAGAACAGUUAGUGCUCUUACCUGAUGAGCCAUCUCGCCAACCCUCACUGUUCAUUCUUAAUAUUACAUACUGUCAAAGCAGUGAACUUAUCUACUUCCUUUUGUCCUGACCCUUUCUGGGCUGUGACUACACUACUUUCCUGAACUAGAAUCCUGAGCAUUGAAGGUCUAUACUGUGUGCCUUCAGCACACUCCAACCCUAAGGAGCAUGCUUAUGUCACUCAACAAUCACUGGCCAAUCAGGGCGUCCAGGCAGGCCAAUCAGGAGAAUAGGAGGGUUCUUCUGAGUACUCUCUGCCAUAAUGGAGGUUCAGCUCUAUGCUAACCUGAAAGAGCAGGGGCAUGAACAUUUGAAGCUGGGGAAGUGGGCACUUCCCUUGGUUGGGUGAGAACCAUUUUCCAGAUGUGCUGAGCCAUCUCUCCUGCCCCAAGUUAAACAGUUUAAAAAGUUGCCUUGGAUGAAUGGAUGGAUGGAAGGAUGGAUGGAUGGAUGGAUGGAUGGAUGGAUGGAUGGAUGGAUGGAUGGGUAGAUGGGUGGGUAGAUGGGUGGGUAGGUGGGGCAGAACCUUCAAACAGUCUUAUUCUGAGGUUAGAAAAGAUCAGCAGGCAUGUUCAUAUUAGAACCGUAACUACAGUGCUGUUAGGUGAUGUUUUCUUGAUAUUUUCUGUGUGUUCUCUGUCCUUUAUGUAUGGGAGAGUUGUAGCAUGGAUUUAUUUUUUAAAACUCUUUUCUAGAUCUUACAUUAUGGACUAGAAGAUAGUUUUGCUCUGUAAAUCUCCAUUAGCCUCAGUGACUAAAAUUGCAAGGUCCUGUCCCCUAUUAAAUUGUUCAAAGUAUAACCUGGGGGGUGAACCUAAAAGGACUUAUUGAUGACACCAUAUGUGGAAUUCAUGCUGUUUCCUAGGCUGGGUCUUCUUUGGGCAUCAGCCAGAGCUGAAUAAGUGAUCUCUCCCUGGGAAAGAUGUUAAUUCCACACCAGCUGUACCUGCAGGCUUUAAAUAAUGUUUCUGAGACAAGCUUUCCUAUGUCGAGUCAGGUAGCAUUCAUUCCACUCUGUAUUUCCCAGGACAAUGACAUUGGCUUCUAUUGACUAAACCAACUAAAUACUUAAGUCUAAAUCACUACCACCACCAUGUUUUUAAAUUACUUGCUGAGUCAUGUAUGUAAUCAACUUUUUUAUUACAGUAAGAGGAACAGGAUUUGCAUGAAGGGCAUGGCUUCUGCAUUCACACCAGAAGAGAAGAGAGUUUUUUGCGAUCCCUACUGGGGAAACAGGGUAGGCAAUCAGCUGCUGGAGUUGCCAUUAUGAACAAGACCUGAUUAUGGCAGGGAGGUGAUUUUUAAUUUUGGAUCAUGUAUUAAUCAUGUUCUGUGAUGAAGA